AUCAAUUUAAAAUUGAUAACAUAAGGGAAAAUAAUGAUAUUACCUUAUUAUUAGUGUCGUCCAAAACUGGUGCCAGAAGACUCGGUAAGGCCAGAGACACAAACGUUAAUCGUCUUAAUCAGGCGUAAAGGGUUUGUAGGCGGCUUUUAAUUUUCUUAUAAAAUUUUUUAAAAUUAAAUAAGUUAAGAAUAAAAGCUAGAAUCAAAUAGAGGAUAUAUCAAAUAAUGCUUAGAGUAGGUCUGAUAUCCAUAGAUACUAAGUAGAAUAUUAAAGGCGAAAGCUUUUUUCCAUAAAUGAUUGACGCUCAGAAACGAAGGUGAGGAUAGGAAAUAGGAUUAGAUACCCAAAAUACCCCUCUCUGUCAACGAUGAAUGGUAAUUAUUAAUAAUAAAUUUAUUAUUAAUGAUAAUGUUAACACGAUAACCAUUCCGCCUUGUGAGUACAACUGCAAAGUUGAAAACAAAAAAAUUAGUCGGUUUCGGAGCAAACGAAGUGAAGCAUGUUAUUUAAU
RNAcentral lists this ribosomal RNA (511 nucleotides) under Russula sp. Its description in RNAcentral is "partial small subunit ribosomal RNA". It matches the Rfam family "Bacterial small subunit ribosomal RNA", at positions 418 to 950 of the family's 1533-position model. Lineage: Eukaryota; Fungi; Basidiomycota; Agaricomycetes; Russulales; Russulaceae. The record is from RNAcentral.